Molecule: long non-coding RNA, 1429 nt
Organism: Daphnia magna
Lineage: Eukaryota; Metazoa; Arthropoda; Branchiopoda; Diplostraca; Daphniidae
Exons: 2
Source: RefSeq, a predicted model, not a curated record
UUAGUUUUAGCAACGGCAGACAUUAUUGAGAAUCCUGUGCCAAUGCAUGGAUAUUUGCUGGCUGAGGAACCUAUGUCAAUUGUUUUUCCUACAACAAUAUCUGAAGCACUUUGUUCAAAGCUAAGGCAAUGUUUGUUAAUCUUUUUAUUACUUCCCUCUUGACCAGGUUGAAGAACAAAGUGAGUUUCCUGGUGAAACCAAUCCCCUUGAUCUCGUUCGACAAAAUCGAUUUAUGUGUUUGGUUCCAGAAGUAGUCGAUAACACGCCAACAACUAUAAAGCAUACUGAGCAUAUACAAAAACACGUAGAUGGUGUGGAAGCUGUGGAGUCCCUUUCAUCGACCACCGAAACAAGACCCACAACAGUAAUUUCUGUGUGUGACGAACGCUCGCUGCUCUACUGGUCUUCAUUCGUUAGACUACCUUCCAUUUCUUGGGGGUGGUCUUUCAACCAAGGACUUGAAACUGUUUUUUGCACUGGCUACGGUAAAUCUGAAAAAUUAGCCACAGUCAUCGUGAAAACCAUUGCUGUCCGUUUAUCGGGAGAGCUGUUCUACCUAUUCAAUGGGAUUAGUAUAUCACAUUGCGAAUUACCGCCGAAAUUUUCAACGUUUGAAAGGCUUUCCACCAUUAUACAGUUCUUCGACAAACUGAAGCCAUGCGAGGGUAUCACUAUCCCAUGAGCAAAGCUAACAAAAUAUUCAGAUGACUUCGUUGGUGUGAAAGACAAAAACAGAAAUUGGCGUUCUAAAAGUUGUGCAUAUGUCUUUGACACAAUAUAUGUCGCUACAUCAUGCACGCGUUGCCGGGCACUGAAGAGAUAUUUUCUGCAGAAGAUAGGAACGUUGCAAUUAAAAAAGAAAAAAGAAACAAUGAACGAGAAAUGUCGAAAAUUGCGAAGCAAGCUGAACACAAUGGAAAAGAAACUUGAGAAAAGCAACCUAAAUGUGAAAAAUUUACGCAGUGACUGAAAGAAACUUUUGAAGAAAAAGAAAAGUGCUUUUCAGAACCAGAUGGGACAUCUUUCAGAAAUGGUGAAUGGUGGUAGUUUUAUUAUUUUCAAGUAGCUAGUAGCUCAUUAAAUGUUUCUUAUAUGACAUUUGGUGAUUUAUUUUACUACUUCUUAAUCAUUUCUUUCUUCAAUGACUAUUUUCUCCAAAUUUGAUUUGAAAGUUAUUAUUCGCGACUGACAAUUUUUUUUACAUUCUGUUUACAAACAAUUUAAUUGCGCAUUAUUUAGUCUCCUGUAAUUUUCAUUUCAUAUCGCAAUUUGUGUUUUGUUUGCUGACCAUAAUGUAACAAUUAUUAUGUUGUAUGUUUCCUUAUGUGUUAAGAAAAAAUGUAAACGUUAGCAUUCAAAAUCGAGAUUUGUUUGAGAUUAGUUUCAUUAGAACUUUUGUAUUAGAUUUUAUUACACAUAUUUUUUUUCA